Pseudophryne corroboree (corroboree frog) is the source of this 705-nucleotide long non-coding RNA. RefSeq lists it as uncharacterized. Lineage: Eukaryota; Metazoa; Chordata; Amphibia; Anura; Myobatrachidae. The transcript has 3 exons. The record is from RefSeq and is a predicted model, not a curated record.
CCUCUCUCCAUUUUAUCACUCUCCAAGUGAUGCUGCAUCUCGCAUACUAUUCCUGGCCUUGAAAAAGAUCCCAGAAAGGGAUUGAAAUGCUUUGGCAUUUGCGUGGACUAUUCGGUAGAUUGUGAAGGAUUCUGGGGCCAUUGCCUGACUGGGAGCUAUGCCAUGGUUGUGAUCCGGGACACCCACAGCAUCACCGUGGUUACCAGCCAGGGACCCGUUUUGUCACUUCCGCAGGAAGUGACAUACCCGGAAGUGAGGGAGGCGGAGCCAGGUAUGCUGGGACAGCGGUGAUGUGCAGUGGGAAGUCUCCUUGGUCAUUUUCUGGAGCCAGGCCAAUAACAAAGUUCAUCUUUUCCUUCAUCAGCACCUCACGAAUAAUGUGCCAUCCAGCCAUAAGAUAAUGACAUUUAUCUGACAUUUUCAGUGCUAGUGGCAAAUUUCUCUCCGAUAGACUGUAAACGCAUGAUGCUGAAACAGAAAAUGUACAGUAAUUAGAUGAGGAAAGCAAGACAUUAACAGUUCUCUAAACAAGCUUCCCAGAAUAAAAUGGAAACGAUCAUUGUAGUUUGUGCAUCUCUGUAAAAUGAUGUUCUAUAACACUUUUUAAUAACAUUCUGGAGACAGACCAAGCGCUUUCAGUUACAUUGAUCUCACUGUGAAGGACGUUUGCUAUGUGGAGGUGGUAGCAGGUGUUUCACCGGCAAC